This 557-nucleotide ribosomal RNA is filed under the name uncultured bacterium. Its description in RNAcentral is "bacterial SSU rRNA". It matches the Rfam family "Bacterial small subunit ribosomal RNA", at positions 102 to 694 of the family's 1533-position model. The record is from RNAcentral.
ACGGGUGAGUAACGCGUGGGAAUCUACCCAUCUCUACGGAAUAACGCAUGGAAACGUGUGCUAAUACCGUAUACGUCCUUCGGGAGAAAGAUUUAUCGGAGAUGGAUGAGCCCGCGUUGGAUUAGCUAGUUGGUGGGGUAAAGGCCUACCAAGGCGACGAUCCAUAGCUGGUCUGAGAGGAUGAUCAGCCACACUGGGACUGAGACACGGCCCAGACUCCUACGGGAGGCAGCAGUGGGGAAUAUUGGACAAUGGGCGCAAGCCUGAUCCAGCCAUGCCGCGUGAGUGAUGAAGGCCCUAGGGUUGUAAAGCUCUUUCACCGGUGAAGAUAAGGACGGUAACCGGAGAAGAAGCCCCGGCUAACUUCGUGCCAGCAGCCGCGGUAAUACGAAGGGGGCUAGCGUUGUUCGGAUUUACUGGGCGUAAAGCGCACGUAGGCGGACUAUUAAGUCAGGGGUGAAAUCCCGGGGCUCAACCCCGGAACUGCCUUUGAUACUGGUAGUCUUGAGUUCGAGAGAGGUGAGUGGAAUUCCGAGUGUAGAGGUGAAAUUCGUAGA